This 301-nucleotide ribosomal RNA is filed under the name uncultured bacterium. Its description in RNAcentral is "partial 16S ribosomal RNA". It matches the Rfam family "Bacterial small subunit ribosomal RNA", at positions 509 to 808 of the family's 1533-position model. The record is from RNAcentral.
CAGCCGCCGCGGUAAUACGAAGGGGGCUAGCGUUGUUCGGAUUUACUGGGCGUGAAGGGCGCGUAGGCGGACUGAUAAGUCAGGGGUGAAAUCCCAAGGCUCAACCUUGGAACUGCCUUUGAUACUGUUUGUCUUGAGUUCGAGAGAGGUAAGUGGAACUGCGAGUGUAGAGGUGAAAUUCGUAGAUAUUCGCAAGAACACCAGUGGCGAAGGCGGCUUACUGGCUCGAAACUGACGCUGAGGCGCGAAAGCGUGGGGAGCAAACAGGAUUAGAUACCCCGUAGUCCCUGUCUCUUAUACA